GAAUGUACCUGAAGAAUAAGGAUCGGCUAACUCCGUGCCAGCAGCCGCGGUAAUACGGAGGAUCCAAGCGUUAUUCGGAUUUAUUGGGUGUAAAGGGUGCGUAGGCGGUCCUAUAAGUCAGAGGUGAAAGCCGGCAGCUUAACUGUGGCAGUGCAUUUGAUACUGUAGGACUAGAAUCUAUUAGAAGUGGGUGGAAUAACACAAGUAGCGGUGAAAUGC
RNAcentral lists this ribosomal RNA (219 nucleotides) under Sphingobacterium sp. RNAcentral describes it as "partial 16S rRNA". It matches the Rfam family "Bacterial small subunit ribosomal RNA", at positions 471 to 689 of the family's 1533-position model. The record is from RNAcentral. Lineage: Bacteria; Pseudomonadati; Bacteroidota; Sphingobacteriia; Sphingobacteriales; Sphingobacteriaceae.